UGAGCUAAAUUACUGCUCUUAUUAUUGUCUUUCCAUCAAGCAUGUUAGAAGGUCCUUUACAACACUAGGAUGAAUGAUAUCAGAGGUAGCUGUGUUUGUUAUAUUGUUUUCUAUCCCACUACCAGCUUGUCUAGGACAUUAUCAUUGUGACAGGUGCACUUUCAAUCAAAAUCUUGUCAAAUGACGAAGCUCCAGCUUCCAUUUCUCUACAGCCGCCCCCAUAAGUUCCAUCAUUCACAACUGAGAAGUCUUUAAACAGGAGCAACGUUGUCCAUUGAUGUAAUUCCCCAAACAUAGGCCACAGGUAUCACUCAACAAGCCUGCAUUGGAUUUUACUUUACCAAUUGCCUUGUAGAUGUACUAAUAUAUUUUUUUUAUAUAAAAA
This is a long non-coding RNA of Dioscorea cayenensis subsp. rotundata (Guinea yam), 385 nucleotides long. RefSeq lists it as uncharacterized. Lineage: Eukaryota; Viridiplantae; Streptophyta; Magnoliopsida; Dioscoreales; Dioscoreaceae. The transcript has 3 exons. The record is from RefSeq and is a predicted model, not a curated record.